GGGCCCGUAGCCUAGCGUGGAUAGGGCGCCGGACUUCUAAUCCGGAGAUCGCGGGUUCAAAUCCCGCCGGGUCCG
This 75-nucleotide transfer RNA is filed under the name Candidatus Altarchaeales archaeon. Its description in RNAcentral is "Candidatus Altiarchaeales archaeon tRNA-Arg". It matches the Rfam family "tRNA". From Rfam's summary of the family: Transfer RNA (tRNA) molecules are approximately 80 nucleotides in length. The record is from RNAcentral. Lineage: Archaea; Nanobdellati; Candidatus Altarchaeota; Candidatus Altarchaeia; Candidatus Altarchaeales.